Molecule: transfer RNA, 92 nt
Filed under: bacterium
Lineage: Bacteria
Description: tRNA-Ser
Rfam family: tRNA
About the family: Transfer RNA (tRNA) molecules are approximately 80 nucleotides in length. Their secondary structure includes four short double-helical elements and three loops (D, anti-codon, and T loops).
Source: RNAcentral
GGAGAGGUCGCAUAGUGGCCUAGUGCGUUCGCUUGGAAAGCGAAUAGACGGGUCAAACCGUCUCGAGGGUUCGAAUCCCUCCCUCUCCGCCA